This 545-nucleotide ribosomal RNA is filed under the name uncultured bacterium. RNAcentral's name for it is "partial 16S ribosomal RNA". It matches the Rfam family "Bacterial small subunit ribosomal RNA", at positions 355 to 887 of the family's 1533-position model. The record is from RNAcentral.
UGGGGAAUAUUGCACAAUGGGCGCAAGCCUGAUGCAGCCAUGCCGCGUGUGUGAAGAAGGCCUUCGGGUUGUAAAGCACUUUCAGCGAGGAGGAAGGUGGUGAACUUAAUACGUUCAUCAAUUGACGUUACUCGCAGAAGAAGCACCGGCUAACUCCGUGCCAGCAGCCGCGGUAAUACGGAGGGUGCAAGCGUUAAUCGGAAUUACUGGGCGUAAAGCGCACGCAGGCGGUUUGUUAAGUCAGAUGUGAAAUCCCCGGGCUCAACCUGGGAACUGCAUUUGAAACUGGCAAGCUAGAGUCUCGUAGAGGGGGGUAGAAUUCCAGGUGUAGCGGUGAAAUGCGUAGAGAUCUGGAGGAAUACCGGUGGCGAAGGCGGCCCCCCUGGACGAAGACUGACGCUCAGGUGCGAAAGCGUGGGGAGCAAAACAGGAUUAGAUACCCUGGUAGUCCACGCUGUAAAACGAUGUCGAUUUUGGAGGUUGUGCCCCUUGAGGCGUGGCUUCCGGAGCUAACGCGUUAAAUCGACCGCCUGGGGAGUACGGCC